RNAcentral lists this ribosomal RNA (460 nucleotides) under uncultured bacterium. Its description in RNAcentral is "partial 16S ribosomal RNA". It matches the Rfam family "Bacterial small subunit ribosomal RNA", at positions 338 to 795 of the family's 1533-position model. The record is from RNAcentral.
CCUACGGGGGGCUGCAGUGAGGAAUAUUGGUCAAUGGACGAGAGUCUGAACCAGCCAAGUCGCGUGAAGGAUGACUGCCCUAUGGGUUGUAAACUUCUUUUAUAUGGGAAUAAAAUGUUCCACGUGUGGGAUUUUGUAUGUACCAUAUGAAUAAGGAUCGGCUAACUCCGUGCCAGCAGCCGCGGUAAUACGGAGGAUCCGAGCGUUAUCCGGAUUUAUUGGGUUUAAAGGGAGCGUAGGUGGAUUGUUAAGUCAGUUGUGAAAGUUUGCGGCUCAACCGUAAAAUUGCAGUUGAUACUGGCAGUCUUGAGUACAGUAGCGGUGGGCGGAAUUCGUGGUGUAGCGGUGAAAUGCUUAGAUAUCACGAAGAACUCCGAUUGCGAAGGCAGUUCACUGGACUGCAACUGACACUGAGGCUCGAAAGUGUGGGUAUCAAACAGGAUUAGAUACCCGUGUAGUC